CACGUAGGAGGCAAACGUUAUCCGGAUUUACUGGGCGUAAAGCGCGUGUAGGUGGUUCUGUAAGUAGGGCGUGAAAGCUCCCGGCUCAACUGGGAGAGGCCGUUCUAAACUGCAGAGCUAGAGGAUGGUAGAGGGAGGUGGAAUUCCAGGUGUAGCGGUGGAAUGCGCAGAUAUCUGGAGGAACACCAGUGGCGAAGGCGGCCUCCUGGACAAUUCCUGACACUCAGACGCGAAAGCUAGGGUAGCAAACGGGAUUAGAUACCCUGGUAGU
This 271-nucleotide ribosomal RNA is filed under the name uncultured prokaryote. Its description in RNAcentral is "partial 16S ribosomal RNA". It matches the Rfam family "Bacterial small subunit ribosomal RNA", at positions 524 to 794 of the family's 1533-position model. The record is from RNAcentral.